Molecule: non-coding RNA, 997 nt
Organism: Camelina sativa (false flax)
Lineage: Eukaryota; Viridiplantae; Streptophyta; Magnoliopsida; Brassicales; Brassicaceae
Source: RefSeq, a predicted model, not a curated record
UCUAUUCUAUUAUUUUGACGGACAAGCACAGCUUCUUCUCUCUUCCUCUUUCUUCAUUCUUCUUCUCCCUUUCUCGACUUUGUACGAAUAAUAGCAAAUUCUCAUCAUCAUCAUCAUCAUCAUCAUCAAUCUCCGAUCAUCUUCCGUUCAUCUGCUUUCCAUGGUCUUCUCCCCGAUUCUCAGAUGAAAUCUAUUGAAACCCCGAUCCCAGUCAAUCUCUUCUUCUUCUUCAGGGAUUACUACGACGAAAUCGCACCAAGCUGAUGUAGAAUAAUCGCAUAGUCCCAAGUUUGAUAUGGAAAUCGAUUCUGUAAAAAAUCAACCAUCCUCGAUCGGAAAUGAAUGGAAUAUGCUGCAAAUUGCAACGGUUAGGUCUAGUUAUAUCUCUUGGGAGGUAAACUCAGGAACAUUUACAUGGUCAAAUCAUAGUCUGUCACAGGUUACACUCUCUAAAACAAAUACUUGUGCUUACAACCAAAAUCCUACGCUCCAAUCCCUAACAAUUUAAUCCUUCACACAUUUUACUGACAACAAAUUUAGAGGAUGAAGACUCCCUUCCAUCUUCUUACGAAGCAACCUCUUCAGCAUUUCUUUGUCUGCUGACUGAGCGAGCACAAAUGUUUCUUCUUAACUCCUGAUGACCACCAUAUCCUGAGUAAAACAGCCAGACAGCUUUUCUCUCAUCCAUGUUGCAUUGGAUGAUCAUGCGAAUAUGGUGGGUCUCCAUCUGAUCAUUUACAACAAGUAUACCAGAUCAAACCAAAUUAUAUGAAUUUAAGAAGAAGAAGAUGCAUACAAUCAAGGUUUGAGAAGGAAGACCCAUAAUUAAACCUAUUCAUGUAUUUACAGGUCAUAAUUGAAGCUUGCAGUCACAAGUCGAGAAAGCGUGUGUUAACCAACCCUCUUAUUAUUAUUUCUAGGAUUAAAACUGUAAUGAUUCUUGAUAUUGUUAUCAUCAGGCCACAAAAAUUUAAUGGUGAGUAAACUAUUAUUCUGA